UACGUAGGGUGCAAGCGUUAAUCGGAAUUACUGGGCGUAAAGCGUGCGCAGGCGGUUUUGUAAGUCUGUCGUGAAAUCCCCGGGCUCAACCUGGGAAUUGCGAUGGAGACUGCAAGGCUAGAAUCUGGCAGAGGGGGGUAGAAUUCCACGUGUAGCAGUGAAAUGCGUAGAUAUGUGGAGGAACACCGAUGGCGAAGGCAGCCCCCUGGGUCAAGACUGACGCUCAUGCACGAAAGCGUGGGGAACAAACAGG
This 253-nucleotide ribosomal RNA is filed under the name uncultured bacterium. RNAcentral's name for it is "partial 16S ribosomal RNA". It matches the Rfam family "Bacterial small subunit ribosomal RNA", at positions 524 to 776 of the family's 1533-position model. The record is from RNAcentral.